GGUUGACCUCGGAUCAGGUAGGACUACCCGCUGAACUUAAGCAUAUCA
Molecule: ribosomal RNA, 48 nt
Filed under: Sporothrix schenckii
Lineage: Eukaryota; Fungi; Ascomycota; Sordariomycetes; Ophiostomatales; Ophiostomataceae
Description: partial 28S ribosomal RNA
Source: RNAcentral